CUUCCCAACUUAGGAAAUGAUCAAACCAGGAUCCACAGACAACUGAAGAGAAAGCCCAUGUAAAAGAGAUUUAUAUAAACUUUAUUCAUAAAUAACUCUGAUGUUAGGUACAUCACACAUUUAGGGGAAUGAUCCCUUGGUAACAUGUACCCUGUAUUCCUCUAAACCAGAUUCAAUUCUUUUUGUGAAGUGACUCAAACUUACAAUCCAAAGAGGUUACCAUUCUUUUUGGAAUUUGUUUUUGUAUCAGAGAUGAAGAUACUGCUCUGAGAUAUGAUUCUGUAGUGGAAACAGCCUCCAAAUCUAAGGAAAGGCCAGUAAUGAAGGAAAAUGUACUGGCCUAACAAGGUCUGAGUAUCUCAGCAAAUGUCUGCAUGUCUGUGGUCACAGCUAGAAAUACGAUCACUUCACAAGGAAACAAAAUAAGGAGUCUGUUAAAUGGAGCACACUGUUAGCUCUGUUUUGUCCCAGCAGAGGGAAAUCUGUAUUAUUUUUAAAAGUCAAAGAAGAAUUAUGUAAAGAAGUUAUGUACAUACAUCAUUUAGCCAAAAACAUAGAUAACAUGGUUUUAUAGUUGACUCAUAGUAGUUGUUUUGUCUGAAUGCGCCUUUUGGUGAACCAUGGGAGGAGAGAUAAAUUUCAGCUUUCUUUUAAAAAACAAAAUUCUGACCUUUCUGGUUGAAAGACAAGAUGGACUGCAUUGAAAGCUGAGUUGAAAGACUCCUGUAGGGUGAUGAGAAGAGGCUUGGACAGAGCAAUCACAGCAAGCAUUCUCCAGAACUGUGACUGCUUUAUAACUGCUACCAGAAAAGUAUAAUACUGUAAUGGGCAUCAUUUUGGUUGCAAACCUUGAGAAGUAAUUAAGUAUUUUGCUGAAUGCUUCAGUCUGGAGCCGUCUCCUGCACACAAAGCACUGUUUAACUGCAAGGCACGCGUGCUCCACAGUGUUCAAUUAAAUCCUGCUCUCCUGGUCAGCCAUGCUGGGGAUGUGGCCAACGACAGCAUAGAAUAGCCCUGUUGGCUUCAGGGGUACAGCACACAGCCUCGGAGACUCCAGGGGCAGCAUCACAGUGGUCUCUGUGUGUCCUCACCCUUGUUCUGAACUGAGUUUAGCUCUGCAAGAGUACUACAGGAUCUGAAUCAAGCAUCAUAACCUUCAUAUGUUUCUAUUGGGAGCAAAAAUGAAAAACUCUCUCUCUCAGUAUCACCUCUUACAUAAAUUUCUGUUGUAACCAACGUAGUUAUCUUUUUAUGCCAUGCAUAAGCACACAGAAAAUAGAAGGUGGCCUCUAAUUUAUAGAUAAACGGGAGAUGCUUUUAAAAUUUAAUAUAACCCUCUUUUCUUUUUUUCACUAUUGUAUGCUCGGAGUUGCUACUAAACAAGCCAAGAUCCUGCACAUCACUGAAGCACAUGCCUUAGGGCUGCUCUGAACUAGGAACACAAGAUCUGAGCCAAAGCCCACACAAGCCAGUAGACGAGUUGACUUCUGGAGCUUUGAUGGUCUUCACAAAGCUUCAGUAGGAGGGGCAGAGUAUCUUCACCCCCAGAACAGCCUUAUUGCCAGCCUAACUGUCAAAGAAAAGUGAAGUCAGCAAGCCCAGAUCUUCUCACCUGUGUUGCCUAUAAAGUUGCCCUGCAACAGCUACUGUCUGCAAAAUCUGCCCUGUGCCAUCAAUAAAUUGCAAAUUCCAGUUAUGCAGGGCCAGGUGGGGGUGAAAGUAAUGGAAAAUAUGCUCUGGAGAGAUGUCCCCUAUCACUAGGAAUGAGAGGAGGCAGGGGACUCUUUCCAGGAGGUAAUCAAGUGAGUCAGUACAAGGGUACAAGAAACACAAAGAUACUGAUGCUCAGGUGGGAGUUGGGAGAUCUCUCGGUGCUGAGGAACUCAACAUUUUUCUCUUGCUCUCAACCUGAAGACCUAAGCCAUCGCUUCUUAUUUUAGGGCCUAAAUCCUUAAAAAUCUAUCCUCUGUCAACAGAUUUCACUUUGGUUACUUCAGGUAUACAAAGGAUGUUCAGAGGCAUAAUGAUUCCCAUUUCUCUGUUAUUCUGAACAACUCUAUUAGUCUGAAAACAGAGAUCUUGCAAGUUUUAUUUUGCUGUCGUCAUUCCAGCCAUAUGCAUUUAGUGCAAGCUAA
Harpia harpyja (harpy eagle) is the source of this 2135-nucleotide long non-coding RNA. RefSeq lists it as uncharacterized. The record is from RefSeq and is a predicted model, not a curated record. NCBI's taxonomy places the organism in Eukaryota, Metazoa, Chordata, Aves, Accipitriformes, Accipitridae. The transcript is spliced from 3 exons.